GAUGAACGCUGGCGGCGUGCCUAACACAUGCAAGUCGAGCGAACGGACGAGAAGCUUGCUUCUCUGAUGUUAGCGGCGGACGGGUGAGUAACACGUGGAUAACCUACCUAUAAGACUGGGAUAACUUCGGGAAACCGGAGCUAAUACCGGAUAAUAUUUUGAACCGCAUGGUUCAAAAGUGAAAGACGGUCUUGCUGUCACUUAUAGAUGGAUCCGCGCUGCAUUAGCUAGUUGGUAAGGUAACGGCUUACCAAGGCAACGAUGCAUAGCCGACCUGAGAGGGUGAUCGGCCACACUGGAACUGAGACACGGUCCAGACUCCUACGGGAGGCAGCAGUAGGGAAUCUUCCGCAAUGGGCGAAAGCCUGACGGAGCAACGCCGCGUGAGUGAUGAAGGUCUUCGGAUCGUAAAACUCUGUUAUUAGGGAAGAACAUAUGUGUAAGUAACUGUGCACAUCUUGACGGUACCUAAUCAGAAAGCCACGGCUAACUACGUGCCAGCAGCCGCGGUAAUACGUAGGUGGCAAGCGUUAUCCGGAAUUAUUGGGCGUAAAGCGCGCGUAGGCGGUUUUUUAAGUCUGAUGUGAAAGCCCACGGCUCAACCGUGGAGGGUCAUUGGAAACUGGAAAACUUGAGUGCAGAAGAGGAAAGUGGAAUUCCAUGUGUAGCGGUGAAAUGCGCAGAGAUAUGGAGGAACACCAGUGGCGAAGGCGACUUUCUGGUCUGUAACUGACGCUGAUGUGCGAAAGCGUGGGGAUCAAACAGGAUUAGAUACCCUGGUAGUCCACGCCGUAAACGAUGAGUGCUAAGUGUUAGGGGGUUUCCGCCCCUUAGUGCUGCAGCUAACGCAUUAAGCACUCCGCCUGGGGAGUACGACCGCAAGGUUGAAACUCAAAGGAAUUGACGGGGACCCGCACAAGCGGUGGAGCAUGUGGUUUAAUUCGAAGCAACGCGAAGAACCUUACCAAAUCUUGACAUCCUUUGACAACUCUAGAGAUAGAGCCUUCCCCUUCGGGGGACAAAGUGACAGGUGGUGCAUGGUUGUCGUCAGCUCGUGUCGUGAGAUGUUGGGUUAAGUCCCGCAACGAGCGCAACCCUUAAGCUUAGUUGCCAUCAUUAAGUUGGGCACUCUAAGUUGACUGCCGGUGACAAACCGGAGGAAGGUGGGGAUGACGUCAAAUCAUCAUGCCCCUUAUGAUUUGGGCUACACACGUGCUACAAUGGACAAUACAAAGGGCAGCGAAACCGCGAGGUCAAGCAAAUCCCAUAAAGUUGUUCUCAGUUCGGACUGUAGUCUGCAACUCGACUACAUGAAGCUGGAAUCGCUAGUAAUCGUAGAUCAGCAUGCUACGGUGAAUACGUUCCCGGGUCU
Molecule: ribosomal RNA, 1372 nt
Filed under: uncultured bacterium
Lineage: Bacteria
Description: bacterial SSU rRNA
Rfam family: Bacterial small subunit ribosomal RNA
Source: RNAcentral